UUGAGCUACAUCGUGGUUUUUAGAUAUGAUUUACCUUUCAGGGAGUGUUGACUGUAUGCCGCUCAUUGGGCUUCCGUUAUGUGUUUUUCCCCGACGUAGGCUUUUUUUUAUCCAACUAGCAUUUUUACCAAAACGACAACCUCUGUAUUUUGGAGAAUGACUACGUCUUGACCUUUUCAAUGUCCGUCCAAGAGCGUUCCACAACGAUAAAAAAUAUUUUAAUCCAUUAAAAUAAGAAAAUAUACAUGGGCUAUUCCACAAUGUAGACUUGAAUUCGUUGGCUUAUUUUGUUUAUUCCAGCUAUUGAUGUAAAAAAUGUGGCCAAAGAGAGAUAGAGGCAAACUUGGCAAUGUCCACCAUGAAGACCCAGGCCAGUGUGUACAUGGCCAGGCCCCCUACCUUCAUGAUGAGGCUGGGCCGGGGAGAGGUGAGCUCACAGUAGAGCAUCAUGCCACCCACGCCUACACGCACCAGGGCAAAGAGCAGGAUAAAGAGCAGGUCCACCGCGUCCCCCCACAGGCUGUCGUAGCGGCCAACCUGCCGGAGGAACCAGCGGGCCUGCAGCAAGGGGUUGGUGAUCUCGCUGCCGAAAAUCACGGCACAUGUCUCCACUGCCGACUUGCCCAGGCCCAGCGCCAACAGGAUGCCUGCGAUGCUCAUGGUGUGGUGGGCCAGCAUGACAGGGCCCUCGGUACGGACGCAGAUGCACCAGCCAAAGUCGAAUAGGAAGUAGCCCAGACUAACCACCAGGGCCAGGAUCUGGAGCGGGGUGUUCUCUGUACCUGAGGUCACAAACGGGACAAGGCCAGGGCCCAUCGAUGAAGCUAAUGUAUGCAGUAAGACAUACUAUGAGGAUCCCAUGUGUCAGUGUCACCAGCCUGCAGUUCCACUCCUUGCCCCGCUGGCCAUUCAGGUAACAGAAUGCAAAGUAGAGUGAAAUCCAGCCAAUCAGGCAGCAGCACACCUCCAAAAGUAUCAUUGUUGUUGCUGUACAGGGGAAACCAGAGUCAACUUGACAUUACUAUGUCAAACAGAGGCAAUGUCAUAUCUAGGCAUACACUAGUAUAAUCUCCGAUUUAGUUUUAUCCCCCAAUAGCCUAAGCUACAUAAUAUUCAUAUCACAUAAUUAAAAUAUUUAGUGUUCAUGUUUUACAGUCAUUGUUACAUUUUGUUAAAUAACUAGGGCUACAAGGUGUCAAUUGUAGUCAGAGAACAGGCUUAUUAGUUCAAUGCUUACGCUAUGUCAUUUCAAAACAUGUACCAUAUGUCACACUUUUUUGCUCCAAAACCUAGGCUUUCUUAAGAAUAUGGUCAAACAACAAAACAAUGUAAUACUUGUAGCCAUAAUAAUAGGCUAGUAACAAUCAAGAAGAUCAUAGCCGAAAUGCUAGCAUACAACUAUAGCCUACAUACCUUUAUCUUCUACUCUCCAGAUGCAUCCUAACCUGGCAUUCAUGUCUGAAAUAUCAACUCCAACAAAUGUCCACCAUCUUCAGCCUCCAUUGGUGUUGCUAUGACCUUUCAGAUCUGGCUCGAAAGUCAUUCCAAAAAGGCCUGGCACAUUUGAAACGGAGUGCAUGUUAACUUUUUCACUACAAUAAAAACGUCAAGCAAGCCUACUACAAUAAAUUAGUCCCCUAGCUAGUCUAGAUCCCUUGCCCCUGGUUCUCAAGCAGCUUUAGCCUCUUAUGGGAUUAGUCGAUUCCCUCCAGCUACCCUGGCUGUAGAACAUGCAAGAGAUAUG
Molecule: long non-coding RNA, 1744 nt
Organism: Oncorhynchus gorbuscha (pink salmon)
Lineage: Eukaryota; Metazoa; Chordata; Actinopteri; Salmoniformes; Salmonidae
Exons: 3
Source: RefSeq, a predicted model, not a curated record